GAUGAACGCUGGCGGCGUGCCUAAUACAUGCAAGUCGAGCGAACAGACGAGGAGCUUGCUCCUCUGACGUUAGCGGCGGACGGUUGAGUAACACGUGGAUAACCUACCUAUAAGACUGGGAUAACUUCGGGAAACCGGAGCUAAUACCGGAUAACAUGUUGAACCGCAUGGUUCAACAGUGAAAGACGGUCUUGCUGUCACUUAUAGAUGGAUCCGCGCCGCAUUAGCUAGUUGGUAAGGUAACGGCUUACCAAGGCAACGAUGCGUAGCCGACCUGAGAGGGUGAUCGGCCACACUGGAACUGAGACACGGUCCAGACUCCUACGGGAGGCAGCAGUAGGGAAUCUUCCGCAAUGGGCGAAAGCCUGACGGAGCAACGCCGCGUGAGUGAUGAAGGUCUUCGGAUCGUAAAACUCUGUUAUUAGGGAAGAACAAAUGUGUAAGUAACUAUGCACGUCUUGACGGUACCUAAUCAGAAAGCCACGGCUAACUACGUG
This 497-nucleotide ribosomal RNA is filed under the name uncultured bacterium. Its description in RNAcentral is "partial 16S ribosomal RNA". It matches the Rfam family "Bacterial small subunit ribosomal RNA", at positions 28 to 507 of the family's 1533-position model. The record is from RNAcentral.